GCGGCGCGGUAGGCGACGGCGCAAUAUACGCGAGGAAAGUCCGGGCUACGGCAGAGCGGGGUUCCGCUUAACGAGCGGCGAGAGAAAUCUUAGGGAAAGCGCAACAGAAAACAAACCGCCGCGUAAAAGCGCGGUAAGGGUGAAACGGCGGAGUAAAAGACCACCGAACCUUUGGCGACAAAGGUUGCAGGCAAGCCCAACCCGUAGCAAGAGGCGUCAGGUUAAAGCUCUGCAACGGCGAGCGCCUCGCUCGAGUCGUUUGGCGACAAACGACCUAGAGAAAUCGUCGUCCAAGACAGAAUCCGGCUUAUCGCCGCGCCGCAUAG
Molecule: RNase P RNA, 326 nt
Filed under: Helicobacteraceae bacterium
Lineage: Bacteria; Pseudomonadati; Campylobacterota; Epsilonproteobacteria; Campylobacterales; Helicobacteraceae
Description: RNase P RNA component class A
Rfam family: Bacterial RNase P class A
About the family: Ribonuclease P (RNase P) is a ubiquitous endoribonuclease, found in archaea, bacteria and eukarya as well as chloroplasts and mitochondria. Its best characterised activity is the generation of mature 5'-ends of tRNAs by cleaving the 5'-leader elements of precursor-tRNAs. Cellular RNase Ps are ribonucleoproteins.
Source: RNAcentral